Molecule: ribosomal RNA, 239 nt
Filed under: uncultured bacterium
Lineage: Bacteria
Description: partial 16S ribosomal RNA
Rfam family: Bacterial small subunit ribosomal RNA
Source: RNAcentral
GUUCCUGGCUCAGGAUGAACGCUAGCUACAGGCUUAACACAUGCAAGUCGAGGGGCAGCAUGGUCUUAGCUUGCUAAGGCCGAUGGCGACCGGCGCACGGGUGAGUAACGCGUAUCCAACCUGCCUUACACUCUUGGACAGCCUUCUGAAAGGGAGAUUAAUACAAGAUGUUAUCAUGGGUAAGCAUUUUCGCAUGAUUAAAGGUUUACCGGUGUAAGAUGGGGAUGCGUUCCAUUAGA